RNAcentral lists this ribosomal RNA (1401 nucleotides) under uncultured bacterium. RNAcentral's name for it is "bacterial SSU rRNA". It matches the Rfam family "Bacterial small subunit ribosomal RNA", at positions 59 to 1397 of the family's 1533-position model. The record is from RNAcentral.
AACGGGCUCGGUUCUCUUUUCCGGGGCGGGCCGGCGCGGCGAAACGUGGGCGUAAUACGUCAGUAACUCGCCCUCCGUUUCAGGAAAAACCUCUUCGAAAGGGCGGUCUAAAUAACGGGGCGGCCUCGUCCGGUCGCACGGGCCUCGGGUUCGGGAUAGUUUUAUCUUUCGGAGCUUUUCGGUGAGGAGGGGGCUCGCGGCUUCUCAGCUUCGUUCGGGGGGGAGAAAGGCCCACCAAGAGCGGUGACGGGGUAGCCGGCCUGAGAGGGGUGGGCGGCCACACUGGGUCUGAGAACACGGCCCAGAACUCCUGCGGGAGGCAGCAGUGGGGGGUAUUGCACAAUGGGCGGAAGCCUGAUGCAGCGACCUCGCGUGAGGGAUGGAGGCCUUCGGGUUUGUGAAACCUCUUUUCUCCGGUGGUGAAAAGCCCUGUCCGUUGCGGGCGGGGUUUGUACGGUAGCCGGGUAUGAAGCGCCGGCUAACUACGUGCCAGCAGCCGCGGUGAUACGUAGGGCGCGAGCGUUGUCCGGAAUUAUUGGGCGUGAAGGGCUUGUAGGCGGCCGGUCGCGUCCGCCGUGAAAUUCUCCGGCUCAACCGGGGGCUUGCGGUGGGUACGGGCCGGCUGGAGUGCGGUAGGGGAGGCUGGAACUCCUGGUGUAGCGGUGGAAUGCGCAGAUAUCAGGAGGAACACCGGUGGCGAAGGCGGGUCUCUGGGCCGUUACUGACGCUGAGGAGCGAAAGCGUGGGGAGCGAACAGGAUUAGAUACCCUGGUAGUCCACGCCGUAAACGUUGGGCACUAGGUGUGGGGCCCCGCUCGGGCGGGGGUCCGCGCCCGCAGCUAACGCAUUAAGUGCCCCGCCUGGGGAGUACGGCCGCAAGGCUAAAACUCAAAGGAAUUGACGGGGGCCCGCACAAGCGGCGGAGCAUGCGGAUUAAUUCGAUGCAAACGCGAAGAACCUUACCAGGGCUUGACAUGGGGGCGGCGGCGCCGGAGACGGGCGCCUCCCUUUUUCGGGCGUCCCCGCAGGUGGUGCAUGGUUGUCGUCAGCUCGUGUCGUGAGAUGUUGGGUUAAGUCCCGCAACGAGCGCUAACCCCUGUCCCGUGUUGCCAGCGCGUGGUGGCGGGGACUCUCGGGAGACUGCCGGGGUCAACUCGGAGGAGAGGUGGGGACGACGUCGAAAUCAUCAUGCCCCUGACGUCCUGGGCUUCACGCUGGCUACGAAUGGCCGGUACAGAGGGGUUGCGAAUGCCGUGAGGCGGGGCGAACCUCUUAAAGCCGGUCUCGGUUCGAUUCGGUGUUCUGCAAACUCGACCCCGUGAAGUCGGAAGUUCGCUGUGAUCGCGGAUUCGGGGUUGGCUGCGGGUAAAGACGUUCACGGCCCAUGUCACACCCGCCCGU